UACAGGGGGUGCAAACGUUGCUCGGAAUUAUUGGGCGUAAAGCGCACGUAGGCGGUUCGUUAUGUCAGAUGUGAAAGCCCUUGGCUCAACUGAGGAAGUGCAUCUGAAACUGGCGAGCUAGAGUAUGUAAGAGGGUCGCGGAAUUCCCGGUGUAGAGGUGAAAUUCGUAGAUAUCGGGAGGACCACCGGUGGCGAAGGCGGCGACCUGGGACAAUACUGACGCUGAGGUGCGAAAGCGUGGGGAGCGAACAGG
This 253-nucleotide ribosomal RNA is filed under the name uncultured bacterium. Its description in RNAcentral is "partial 16S ribosomal RNA". It matches the Rfam family "Bacterial small subunit ribosomal RNA", at positions 524 to 776 of the family's 1533-position model. The record is from RNAcentral.